GGCGCUGUGGCACAGUGGGUUAAAGCCCUGGCCUGAAGCGCCAGCAUUCCAUGUGGGCACUGGUUCAAAUCCUGGCAGCUCCU
This 83-nucleotide transfer RNA is filed under the name Oryctolagus cuniculus (rabbit). It matches the Rfam family "tRNA". Rfam says of the family: Transfer RNA (tRNA) molecules are approximately 80 nucleotides in length. Their secondary structure includes four short double-helical elements and three loops (D, anti-codon, and T loops). Further hydrogen bonds mediate the characteristic L-shaped molecular structure. tRNAs have two regions of fundamental functional importance: the anti-codon, which is responsible for specific mRNA codon recognition, and the 3' end, to which the tRNAs corresponding amino acid is attached (by aminoacyl-tRNA synthetases). tRNAs cope with the degeneracy of the genetic code in two manners: having more than one tRNA (with a specific anti-codon) for a particular amino acid; and 'wobble' base-pairing, i.e. permitting non-standard base-pairing at the 3rd anti-codon position. Lineage: Eukaryota; Metazoa; Chordata; Mammalia; Lagomorpha; Leporidae. The record is from Rfam by way of RNAcentral.